RNAcentral lists this unclassified non-coding RNA (974 nucleotides) under Hevea brasiliensis (rubber tree). Lineage: Eukaryota; Viridiplantae; Streptophyta; Magnoliopsida; Malpighiales; Euphorbiaceae. The record is from RNAcentral.
AUUCAAUUGACAGCUCCAUUGCUAUGAUGGCUAAGACAUCAAGGGUCCAGAAUGAUAUUGGUGGCACUAGCGCAAAAUCAUCAUAUAAGAAGAAAGAUGGAGGGAAGAAAAAUGACAAGUUUUGUGAGCAUUGUAAAGCAACAGGCCAUACUAAGGAUUCUUGUUUUAAAAUCAUUGGUUAUCCGGAUUGGUAAAAACCAAAGAAAAAUAAAAAAGCUGCAAAUCUCACUACUCAAUCACCCAUAGAAGCAUUAGAAGCUGAUUCACAUGGAUCCAUAGCUAAGAUAGAUGAAUGGAAUGCAAACCUUGCUGCUCUUAUUCUUUAAGAGAUCUUGAAAGUGAUGACAGGUAUACAAGUGGAGGAGGCAGGGUGUGUUGAUUUUACUGGAUUUACAGGUAACAAUGCUCUUCAUAAUGUACCUUACGCUAAUCAUAAUAGGCAUGGUGAUUGGAUUGUCGAUAGUGGGGCAACAUCUCAUAUGUGUUCUAAUAAGACAACUUUGCAUAACAUUUCUUACCCAAGCCUAUUAAGCUCAGUUUUCUUAUUUGAUGGUUCUAUUUAAAAAAUUUCUGGUCUAGGAACCAUUACCCUACAUCCAAACUUGAGCUUGAUAUAUAUCUUGUGUAUUCCUGGUUUUAGGCACAAUUUACUUUCAGUAAGCCAGUUAUCAAAAGAAUCUCAUAUUUCUAUGACUUUCUUUCCUAAUCAUUGUGUGCUGCAGGACCACUGGACUAAGACUGUGAUUGCAAUUGGAAGACCGGAUGAGGGACUGUACAAACUCAACUCUGGUUCUUUCAUCUCAUCACCUUCUAAUCAUAAAUCAGUAUCUUGCAAUACUGGAGUUGUCACAAACAAACCUUUUACUGCUAUCUAGUAUAUUAAUAAAAGUGCAGAUUCCUUUUUAUGGCACACCAUAUUUGGUCAUGCUUCUUCCAAACUUAUGCAUGUUCCUGAUAUUGAUUACAAAUCUGAA